This 440-nucleotide ribosomal RNA is filed under the name uncultured bacterium. Its description in RNAcentral is "partial 16S ribosomal RNA". It matches the Rfam family "Bacterial small subunit ribosomal RNA", at positions 338 to 795 of the family's 1533-position model. The record is from RNAcentral.
CCUACGGGAGGCAGCAGUGGGGAAUAUUGCACAAUGGGGGAAACCCUGAUGCAGCGACGCCGCGUGAGUGAAGAAGUAUUUCGGUAUGUAAAGCUCUAUCAGCAGGGAAGAAAAUGACGGUACCUGAUUAAGAAGCCCCGGCUAACUACGUGCCAGCAGCCGCGGUCAUACGUAGGGGGCACGCGUUAUCCGGUUUUACUGGGUGUAAAGGGAGCGUAGACGGCAGCACAAGUCUGGAGUGAAAUGCCGGGGCUUAACCCCGGAACUGCUUUGGAAACUGUGCAGCUAGAGUGCAGGAGAGGUAAGUGGAAUUCCUAGUGUAGCGGUGAAAUGCGUAGAUAUUAGGAGGAACACCAGUGGCGAAGGCGGCUUACUGGACUGUAACUGACGUUGAGGCUCGAAAGCGUGGGGAGCAAACAGGAUUAGAUACCCGAGUAGUC